Molecule: ribosomal RNA, 776 nt
Filed under: uncultured bacterium
Lineage: Bacteria
Description: bacterial SSU rRNA
Rfam family: Bacterial small subunit ribosomal RNA
Source: RNAcentral
GAUGAACCCUGGCGGCGUGCCUAACACAUGCAAGUCGAACGAAGCACCUUACUUGAUUCUUCGGAUGAAGGUCUGGUGACUGAGUGGCGGACGGGUGAGUAACGCGUGGGUAACCUGCCCUGUACAGGGGGAUAACAGCUGGAAACGGCUGCUAAUACCGCAUAAGCGCACGAGGAGACAUCUCCUUGUGUGAAAAACUCCGGUGGUACAGGAUGGGCCCGCGUCUGAUUAGCUGGUUGGCAGGGUAACGGCCUACCAAGGCAACGAUCAGUAGCCGGUCUGAGAGGAUGAACGGCCACAUUGGAACUGAGACACGGUCCAAACUCCUACGGGAGGCAGCAGUGGGGAAUAUUGCACAAUGGGGGAAACCCUGAUGCAGCAACGCCGCGUGAGUGAAGAAGUAUUUCGGUAUGUAAAGCUCUAUCAGCAGGGAAGAUAAUGACGGUACCUGACUAAGAAGCUCCGGCUAAAUACGUGCCAGCAGCCGCGGUAAUACGUAUGGAGCAAGCGUUAUCCGGAUUUACUGGGUGUAAAGGGUGCGUAGGUGGCAGUGCAAGUCAGAUGUGAAAGGCCGGGGCUCAACCCCGGAGCUGCAUUUGAAACUGCUCGGCUAGAGUACAGGAGAGGCAGGCGGAAUUCCUAGUGUAGCGGUGAAAUGCGUAGAUAUUAGGAGGAACACCAGUGGCGAAGGCGGCCUGCUGGACUGUUACUGACACUGAGGCACGAAAGCGUGGGGAGCAAACAGGAUUAGAUACCCUGGUAGUCCACGCCGUAAA